AUGGAGCUCUGCUGGAAUAUCAAAGUGAUGAUAAAAAUCCUGCUGAUGGCUCUGAACUGUGGAGGUUCCUCAGGCGACGCCAUAAACACGCUGAGCGUGCUCGUGUCCACAGAUGCAACUCUCAGCUGCUCCUUCGACAGAACGUCUACGCCGGCGGACUGGCGCUCUCUCACCAUAGAGUGGAACAUGGUGGAUAAACACUCAGUCAAGCGCAUCGUGUAUACUUUUGUGGACGGACGUGCGCAUGUGAACAGAGAUGGUUGUGAGGUGGAUAAAAUGGGGCUUCUGCAAAGCAACGCAUCUCUGAAGCUUCGCAAUGUGACUGUGGCAGAUGAAGGCCUGUACACAUGUAGGAUCAUCAUAACACCUACGGUCUACACCGAAACCACGUCACUGGAAGUGCUGGCUCGACCUUUGGUGUUGCUCCCAGAAAAGGCAACAUUGACAGAAGUGGAGGAGAAGACCAUACAGUGUGAUAUUUCGGGUUACUACCCAGAGAAACUGGCUGUAACAUGGCACAUCCGAAAUGGCUCCCAUAUGACUCACGCUGGUGCAAACCCUCACACGAGAGUCUGCACGGAAAUGGCCGUUCACAACUCAGAUGGCACCUACAGCAUUCGUAGUGGCAUCACGGUGCAUUUGUCAGCUGUGAAAGACAAGGAAAUACAAGUAAUCUGCCAGGUUGCACACCAAACCUACACAAGACCAUACAGUAAAUCUGUUACACUAACUCUUCAAGCUCCAUUGCAGCCUGUUUACAGCAUUGCCACAUUGGUAUCUGUUACCAGUGUCACCAUUUUGGUGUUGGUCAUCUCUGUUGUUGGAGGCUCAUUGCUUCUCUUUAGACAUUUCUACAGAGGCCUGCCCAGCAUCUCUGAAAUCAUCCAGCCCACCAUUGUACAUGCCGGGGUGCCAGCUGAACUCAAAUGCACCAUCAAAGGAGCCGGACAUCGAGAGCUUAAAGUGAAGUGGUUUAAGCUUACAGGCAAUUCAGAUUUGGGGUUUGUCUCCAACUCAGAUUCACUGUUGGUCUCUGAGGAUCUGAGUGACCAGGCUUCUCUCCAGUCAGAUGGAAAACUGCACACGUCUGUCCUCAGUGUAUGUCUGACUGUCACAGAAGAUCUGGCUACAUACCAGUGUGUGGUGCUGUGCAGGGGCGAGAUCAUCAGGAGAAAGACUACCGUCAGUGUGACUGUGGAGCCAUCUUUCCUGCAGAUCUCCAGCAUUCCUCAGAUCCCCAAAGUGGAGAAGCUUCUUGUUCUCUGUUGUCGGGUGGAAAACUUCUAUCCUCCAGAUAUCCACCUGGAGUGGUCCAGAAAUGAUGGCGAGCAGGUUCGCACCAUCACACACUUUGGCCCUUUCUCUGGUCAAAACGGCCUCUACAGUGUGUGGAGUAAGAUCCAGCUGACCAUGGCCAGAGAGGAUGAACGCGCGGUCUACACCUGCCGCGUUUACCACUCCAGCUUCCCUAAACCGGGCUACAAAGACGCUCUGUACCACAUUAACACUCAAGGAACUCCUCCGGAUGUCAGGUUUGUUCAUUCUGAGCCGUCACACCCUGUGCUGAAUGAGGAGUGUACACUGCACCUGUGGAUCAGAGACUUUUGUCCUGAAGACGUGUCAGUGUCUUGGACUAAGGAUGGAGAAACGGUUCUCUGUGGCGUCUUCAACACUCCGCCGAGUCUGAAUAUCAACGGCCUCUACUCCAUGUUUAGUUUUCUGAAACUCACUCCCACCAAAACUGACCUUGGCUCCAGGUUCAGAUGUCGGGUUGUCCACAGUGCUCAGCGGGAACCUGAAGAGAGGGACUUCAUACUGUCUGAUUGUGAUUUGGCAAACAGGUAACGGUGUCCUGAUCUUGUCACACUGUGAAAUGAUGGGACGACACUUUUAUGAGACAUCAGAGACAGAGAAUGGUCAGAAUGAAAAUCUCAUGUAGUCCGUGAAGUGUAACAUCUCUUU
Molecule: non-coding RNA, 1962 nt
Organism: Thalassophryne amazonica
Lineage: Eukaryota; Metazoa; Chordata; Actinopteri; Batrachoidiformes; Batrachoididae
Source: the annotation of a RefSeq genome assembly